Rhinolophus ferrumequinum (greater horseshoe bat) is the source of this 10279-nucleotide RNA transcript. It is a transcript of the gene named pericentrin, with no coding region annotated. The record is from RefSeq and is a predicted model, not a curated record. Lineage: Eukaryota; Metazoa; Chordata; Mammalia; Chiroptera; Rhinolophidae. The transcript has 44 exons.
GGACAUUGUGGACACCUGUUGACCACAGUUCAGGCCAGGUGCCAGGGACCCUCCCUGCACGGCCAGCCUGUUCCCUAGCCGCUGCUCAUCCCACUCCAUAUGUGUCCGUGCUGUGGGACGGGAAGCCGCCUCAGCUCGCCAUGUCCCCACAGCCAGCGGCCGCCCUGGAGCUGGAGGCGCUGCGCCUGAGCCUGAGCAACAUGCACGUGGCACGGCUGGAGCUGGCACAGGCGCAUCUGCAGCGGGAGAAGGACAGCGCGCUGACCGAGCUGCGGGACAUGCUCAACGGCCGGCACGCCCAGGAGCUGGCCCUGCUGCACAGCAGGCAGCAGCUGCAGCUGGAGGAGCUGGCACGGCGCUACCACCAGGAGACAGCUGAGCUGAAGGAGAAGUUACAAUCAGAAACGGAGAAAAAUGCCCAGAUAACAGAGACCCUGAAGCGAGACUGGGAAUCCGAGAGAGAUUUAUGUUUAGAGAACCUACGCCAAGAGUUAUCUGCAAAGCACCAGGCAGAACUGGAGAAUUUACGGAGCCAUUUUAAGAGGGAAUCAGCAGAACUCAGAGCUGGGCUGGAGAAGAUGUCUCAAGCCAAACGUCAGGCUGAACUGUCCCUCCAGAGUCUGCAGGCGCAGCAGAAGGCCACCGUGGAGAGACAGCAGGAGGACCUGGGGUCCCAGUACUGCCGGCGCGCAGAGGACCCAGAGCUGGCGAAGGGGCAGCUGCAGAACCUUCAGGCAUCACAGGAAGAUCUAAAGGCUGAGUCACAAGAGGGACCCUGGCGCCUGUGGUCCCAGCUUGAGUGCACGAGGACCGACGAGCAGGAGCUGAGCGAGCUGCACGAGUGGCCGCUGGCCCGAGCCCCUGGCCUGGAGGACUUGCCGCCGCCGCAGCAGCAGCAGAGCGAGCGCAACUCCCGGCCGGAGCAGCUCCUGCUGUGUUCUGACAAGAGUCGCCAGGAGGGCCUGACGCAGUCACAGCAGCGGCUGCAGGAGGUGAGGGAGGACACUCUUCUGGAGUCUGAGGAAAUCAGUGCACCUGGCGUGGGGUUAGAAGAGACGUCUGAAAAUGAAGGGAGAGACCGCCUCCAUCUGCUCAGCCUGCAGCAAGAGCCGCGUGAGGCCAGCCUGCGAGUGCACACACAGGUGGAUGAGAGCCGCCAACGCCAAGGGGAAGCCCAGCAGGAGGCAGAAGUCACAGAGACCCAGGUGUUGGAGCAGCGGGCGGGGCCCUUGGAAAGGCCGGGCCAAGAGCUCACUCGCGUGCCUCUCCAGGUUGCGCAGGACAUGGCCGAGGAAGUGGAGACGGCCGUGGUGGCCAGAGUGCUGGGUUUGGAAGCCGAGCACAAGGUCAGACUCUCGCUGCAGAUGGAACUCAAGGAAGAGAUCGAUCUGCUAAACGUGGAAAAGAGAGAUUUACUCGAGAAGCUGCAGCAGGAAAUCCGCCUGAAUGAAGAUUUGGAGAAAGCAAAACAUGACUUAGCUGAAUGUCACCAGGAAGAACUGAGGAAGGCUAAUGAGCAGAUUCAGCUAAUGAAACAAGAAUUCAGAGAGAGAGAAGCAGAAUGGAAGGUCACCAGUGAGGCCCGAAAGAGAGAAGCGGAAGAGCAGCUGACACGGAUGCUCCUGGACCUGACCCAGCAGGCGGCGGCAGGCAGACAGUCACUGCUCAGUGAGUUUGAGCUCCGAGAAACUGAGAUGAGGCAACUGCAUGACCAGCAGGAGGCCCAGAUCCGGGACCUGGAGGCAUCACUGCUAGAGCAGCAGGGCCGCCUACGGCAGCUGGAGCUGGGGCUCGCGGAGGACGAGUGUCCGCAGUGCAGCAAGUGUGGCCGGGAGCCGGGCCAGGCCUGGGAGCUGGCUGCUGUCCGCCUGAAGGAGGACUGUGCCCUCCAGCUGACGCUGGCUCAGAACAGGCUUUUAGAGCAACGUAGAGAAAUCACCGAGAAAUUCACUGCUGAACGAGGCGCUUUGCUACGGGAGGCCCAGGAGAGGCACGCCCGUGAGCUACGGCUCCUCCAAGACAGACACCGGCAGCACCUCGUGUCUCUGACUGCAGAGCUGCAGGCCCGGCAUCAGGCUGACACCGCGGAGCUGCGGGCUGCGCUUGAGAGGCAGCACUACACCCUUUCGGGAGAGCGAGCGGCCGAGUCGCAGGAGGAACGUGCUGUGGAAGUCCGCGCUCUGGAGGCGAUGCACCAGUCAGACCUGGAGUCAGCGGAGGCGAGGCACCGGUGUGAACUAGAGGCCCUUCGCAGUGAGCACAGGCGGGCCCUGGAGCUGCUGCAAGCUGGCCGUGAGGGACAGCUGCACAGCCACCUGUCUCCUGAGCAUGCGGCUUCGACUCCAGAGUUCGAGGGACUUGAGCGGGAACGUGACACCGAGCUUCAGUCUGCAGAGGCCUGCCAGGGCGCUGAGCCGGGCGCCGAGUGCCCCGAGAGUGUGAGGGUCCCUGCAGCCAGGCCUGGCGGGGCUCAGCAGGGUGAAUCUGACCGUGAAAAGAAAGCUGCUUUGUGUGACCGAACGGACAUGUAUCGACUGGCGUGUGAGCAGCCCCUCCACCAACGGGAGAUGGAGGCUCUGCGUCUGCAGCUUCAGGAGAGGGAGGACCAGGUGCUGCAGCUGAAGGACCGGGUUUUAUCCUUAAGCCACGAGCUGGAGGAGUUACAGCAGAGACGCUCCCGGGAGAACCAGGAGGGUGCAAACCUCAUCGCAAUGCUCCAGUCUGACACGGCGCUGUCUGCCAGCCAGAGGACAGCUCUCCAGGACGCCCUGCGGAGGCUGUUGGGCUUGUUUGGGGAGAUGCUGAAGGCUGCCAGCGCCCUGAAGAGCCGGAUCAGCGAGCGCGUGGGCCUCGGCCUGACCCCGUCUGCCGUGCCAGCCCUGGAGGAGACGUGGCCUGGCUGUGACGGGGCCGUGCCGGAGCUUGACGGGACUCUGCCUGAGAGCACGGAGAUGUCUUCGGAGGCUGAGAUCAGCAGCCACCUGUGUGAGAGCUUCUUCCUGAGCCCAGAAAGCACGCUGGAGUGGGAGCAGCCUGUCCGGAGGAUCUACCAGAGCCUCGCCCUGGCGGUGGACAGCCUCCUGGAGAUGGUUCUGGACUCCAGCAGGCAGCUGGAGGAAGUACGUCAAAUUCACGAUCAUUUUGGGAAAGAAUUUAGCUGCAGGAGUGAGGAGAUGGCACAGGUUGGGAGAAAACACCAGGAAUUACUGGAGCGCCUGGAGGAGGAGAACACAGCGCAGACGCGGCUGACGCUGGAGCUGUACAAGGCAGAGGGCAUCAUCGAGGGGUUCAAGGUGGAGAAGGCCAGCCUGCAGGAGGCACUGGGCCAGAAGGAGGAGGCUGAGCGGGGCCUCGUGGUCGAGCUGGAGAGCCUGAGCCAGCAGCUGCAGCAGGGGACCCAGCAGCUGGCAGAGCUGAGGGACAAGAAUGCUGUCCUGCUGUGCGAGAAGGAGGCGGCCGCUGCUGAAGCCCAGGAGCGGGAAGCCGCUCUUCGGAGAGAAGUGGAGGACGUCACCAGGGAGCAGGCGGAGAGCCGGAAGCAGGCCGAGCAAGACCACCGUACCCUGCGUGCCCAGACGGAGGCGCUAGAGGCUGAGUUGCAGGAGCAGCUGUUGCAGCACCAGGCGUGUGCCAAGCAGGCAGCGGAGCUGUGCGCGCUGCGGCAGCAGCUGGAGGGUCUGGACAAGCAGCUGCGCAGCCAGCGACACUUCAUGGAUGAGCAGGCCGUGGAGAGAGAGCAGGAGCGUGAGGAGUUCCAGCAGGAGAUCCAGAGGCUGGAGGAACAGCUGCGGCAGGUGGCCAGGCCACGGCCCCGGGGCACCCCUGACGGCGAUCGGGCGCAGCGGGAUGAGCAGGUUGAAUUGUUACAGGAAAAAUUGAGAGAAAAAUCAGAUGAACUUGGCGAAUUGGUUAUAAAGAAAGAAUUAGCAGACAGACAGGUGUUGAUCCAAGAGGAGGAAAUUAAGCAUCUCGAAGAGAUAAAUGCCAGCACCACAAGGAAGGUGACUCAGCUCCAGGAGGAGCUGGAGAAACUGAGGCAAGCCAUGCGAGAGCUGCAGCAGGACAAGGAGGUCUUCCAGGAGCAGCAGCUGAGUACCUUGCUUUCGGUGUCCACGCGGCAGGCUAGACAAGACGAAGGCAGACGCCCCUGGCCUCCUGUGGGCCACUGUCCUGAGGGCCCAGAAGUCCAGUUAGAGGCCGUGCAGAGGGCGCACCUGCCACAGGACAGCAAGGCAUGUCUGCAGAACGGGGAGAAUGAGAUAAUGUGUGUGAGCGAGCAGUUCGAGGCACAGCGGGCUGGGAUGGGAAGUGGCACUGUUGGCGUCGGCGAGGCUAUGCCUAGCACCAGUUCAGAAGUCAAGGAGCUGAAAUCCAUUAUCGAGACUCUGCAGGAGAACCAGGAGCGGCUGCAGGAGGAGAAAGCCGAGGAAAUCGAGCGACUGCAUGAGGUCAUCGAGAGGCUGCAGAGGGAGCUGUCCCUCUGCGGGCCCGCGGAGCGGGAGCGCGGUCCUGGCCCGUCCCAGGACCUCCAGAGUGAGCUGGAAUGCGAGCUGUUGUGCCCGCAGAGGGGCGGACCUGAGACCCAGGCCGCGCUGCAGGCCGAACUGCAUGCUGCGCUUGCGUCCAGGGAGGCCCUGAGCGGGCUGCUGGCGGAUCAGGAACACCGGCACGGCCAGGCCCUGGAGGCCCUGCAGCAGCGCCUGCGCAGCGUGGAGGAGGCUGCCGCAAGGCAGCUGGCCCAGCCGGAGCCCGGUGCGGCCUCCCACAUCCGAGAGCUUGAGGCCGCCCUGAAAGCAAAGGACUGGGCGGUUGCCCAGAGGGAUUUGGAAAUCGAGGCUCUGCACAGACGAACAUCGGCCUACUGCGCCGAGCUGCAGGCCAUGCGGUCGGCUGUUGCCUGCAUCCGCCGCUCGCUGGAACAGCAGCACCCAGGCUCCGCGCACGAGCCCCCUGAGCUGCAGCGGCUCCGAGCUCAGUGCGUACACCUCAGCCGCCAGUUGCAGGCGCUGAAUCUGCACUUCCAGAAGUGCCAGAAAGAGCUGGACAAGCAGCAGGCGUGCCGGGCUCCCGCCCCCUCCCCUGGGGAGGGUAGUGCCCAGCGACUGGUGUCCGGGGGUGACGAGGCCUUCUGUGAGGAAGAGCUGGAACGUGACGUGGGCAGCAGGCAGCUGACCGAGGCCUCCCACGGCCAUGACCGUGGCCCACAGAGCCCAGGGAAGGGUGAGGUGCAGCCUGCCAAAGCCCUGGUGACAUUGAACCAUGCAGGUCUCCACCACCACGACAGCGUGACGUCGGUGCUUGCUGUCUGCCAGAGGCAGUUGGAGUCUGAGCUGCUCCUGGUGAAAAAUGAAAUGCGCUUGAGUGCAGAGGCGCGUGGCAAGGAUAAGGAGAAACUGCUGGAAGAUUGUAAGCUGCGGAAAGUUGAUCUGAUAACUCAGGUGAAACAACUUCAAGAAAAACUGAACCGUCUGGUAUAUUCUAUGAACUUCCAGAACAUUGAGACAGAGGAUUUCAAAUCUCAACAGCCAUUGGCAUUUUCUGAUGUUUCUGAAAACAGUUUGAGUGAUAGUUGCAAUAAUGGUGAAGAAACUGACAAAUUGCCUCCUGUGGAAGCAUUUACUAUCAAUAAAACCACAUGGGAUUUAGUUGACGUUAUUGGAAAUCAGGAUUCAUGGAUAAGAAAUGCAAAGCCAAAUGUCCCCAUGGGAGAGAAGGUAGAUUUGCAGGAUGGGUCACUCGGGAGCUUGCACAGUAGCUGCAGUGACCUGACCCCCAGCGAGGGGGCCGAGCCCUUGAAGAGCGCACUCAGCACCGUGGACGUGUCCUGGAGCUCCCCCGAGGCGGUCAGGAGGGACUCGACCCUCGAGCCGCUGCCCAGCCUGCCCGUGACGCCCUGCUUGGACGCCUCCCUGAGCGACAGGACAGGCACCUCGCUGCUCCAGGCUGACCAGCAGGGGCUGCUUUGCUCCCCGGGCGAGUCAGCCGCAGCAAAGGCCCCUUGCUGGGCUGAGUCCCCGUCAGCUGCGGACAGGGCUCCCUCUGCUGACCCCCAUGUGCGGCGGACGGCUGUGGAGAAAGAUGUUGAGGAAUUUAUCACGUCUCUUGAUUCUCAAGAGAAGUCAAGAUCGCCCCCUCUUGGGCUAGAAGGAAAAGGCGAUGAAAGUGAAAAAGGUGAUGGCGAUGGAGUAGAGACACUUACCCAGAGCCCAGAAGGACAGGACGCCCCCACUGCUAGUCCAGCAGCGCCCCCUCCCACCUCGUGGAGUUUCCAACGGCCGCUGGAAGCCAUGAAGGAGAAGGUGGUCCCUUCGAAGCACGUGGAGGCUUUGCUGCAGAUGGUGUGUGACGAGAGUCGCCACAUCCUGGCCCUGUCUGAAUACCACGGACCCCCCAGCGCUCUGGGCAAGGGCGAGCCAAGUACCCCCCUCGAGGGCUUCCCGUGGGGGGGCCAAGGCCUGUUGGAGGCAUUGUCAACACCCCAAAAGGGAGAGAAGGAACCUUUCGGCACGAGCCUUGACUGGAGAGGAGAGCUCCUGCAGGUUGUCCAGGAAGCCUUUGCAAAGGAGCAGGACAUGCUGCCGGCGGCACUGCAGCCCCGAGGGUACGGCUGUGGCCCCAUAGCCCUCCUGUCGCAGCGGCUGGAGCAGGAGGCCCUGCAGGAGAAGUCCCCGGAGCGCCUGCAUCUGUCCGAGAGGAGCAGCUUGCUGUCCGAGAUCCAGGCCCUGCGAGCCCAGCUGCGGCUGACGCACCUGCAGAACCAGGAGAAACUGCAGCAGCUGUGCGCGGCGCUGACCAGUGCGGAGGCCCGUGGGAGCCAGCGGGAACACCAGCUGCGCAGGCAGGUUGAGUUACUGGCAUACAAAGUUGAGCAGGAAAAAUGUAUAGCGAGCGAUCUCCAGAAAACACUCAGCGAAGAGCAGGAGAAAGCCAGUGAUGUCCGGCAGCUGCUGCUGGUGGAAGAGAACACAGUCCGAGCUCUGAAGUCGGAGCUCUGCGAGUGCAAGCAGGACAAUGAGAGGCUCCUGGAGUCCCUGAGCGACGUGCAGCGGGAGGUCCUGCAGCUGAGGUCCAUGCUGGAUGGCAAGGAGGAGGACUUGAGGGCCGCGCGGCAGGAGCUCGAGAGCGCUCGUGGGGAGGAGCGGGCCCUGCAGGGCCGGCUGGAGCAGGAGCGGCUGCAGCGCCUUCGCACAGAGGCCCAGAACGCCCAAGCCCUGGGGGAGCUGAGAGUGUCUUUGGAGAAGCAGUGUGCUCAGAACAAUCAGCUGUGUGUCGCAUUGAAACACGAGCAGACGGCAAAGGACAACCUCCAGCGGGAGCUGCAGAUCGAGGCCUCGCGGUGCGAGGCGCUACUGGCCCAAGAGCGCGGCCGGCUAACCGAGCUGCGCAGGCGCCUGGAGGCCGAGCAGGGCCGCACGCAGGAGCUGUCCAAGGCCUUGCAGCACGAGCGCCUCCUGACCGAGCGGCUCAGCCGGAGGUCACAGGUGCCACCAGGGCAGCACACCGUGCCGCGCAAGCUGAAGGAUGAGCGGGCCCGCGUGGCAGAGCUGCAGGCCACCCCACUGCAGCCGGAGGCUGAGGCACAGGGGCACUGCCCGGAGCUCGAGAGGGACAAGGAGGUAAGUGCCACGCCAAGGGCUGCCGUGCAGGCCCUACAGACCCCCAGGCCAGAGCUGAGCUGCGAUCAGGAGACAGAGGGGGAAACGCCCGCGUGGCCACAGGCACAGGUAGAGCAGUUACACACGAGGCUGGCAGAGCAAGGACACCAGGACACGCAGAGGAGAGCGGGGACAAGGCAGAGCCGGGCAGACGUGGACAAGUGGAGGAAGUGGCAGAGAGACAAGGAGAAACUGCGAGAGCUGGAGUUGCGACGCCAGCGACAGGAGCACAAGAUUCAGCAGCUGGAGCGUGCGGCGCGCCGGUCCCCAGAGGCUGGGCGUCUGCAGGAGCAGCAGCAGGGCCUGGAGAAGAUUCGGCAGCAGCUGCUGGGCGCAGCCGGGCUGCUGACCAGCUUCAUCAACCAGACUGUGGACAGGACAAUUAAUGACUGGACAUCAUCAAACGAGAAAGCGGUAACGUCUUUACUGCGGACGUUAGAGGAGCUCAAGUGCGAGCUGAGCCCGUCCAGCUGCUCCCAGAAAAACAUGACAACACAGCGACAGGAGCAGCUCGUGGGUGUCUUGCUGAGGGACAAUGACUCUCUCAGGAAGGCCCUUGGCGCCGUGACGCGGGAGAAGGCGGGGCUGUGCCGAGCUGCGACCCGGCUGGAGAGGACACUGGCCCAGCACCUGCUGAAGGGCUGCACGCUCAGCAGGUCGGACAGGUCGGCCGGGAAGCGGGACAAGAAGGUUCUGCAGGGCUCACCGGGACUCCCAGACCCAGCGCGGUCCGCGCCGGCCGCCAGGGAGGAGGCGGAUGCCAGCACCGUCAAGAUGGAAAAAUUGUACUUGCGUUAUUUGAGAGCAGAGAGCUUUAGAAAAGCUUUGAUUUAUCAAAAGAAGUAUCUUCUACUGUUGAUUGGUGGGUUCCAGGACUCGGAACAGGAAACACUCUCCAUGAUUGCUCAUCUAGGAGUGUUUCCAUCCAAAGCAGACAAGAAAAUUGCCCCACCCCGUCCUUUUACCAAGUUCCGGACGGCUGUCAGGGUGGUGAUUGCGAUAUCCAGAUUACGAUUUUUGGUUAGGAAAUGGCAAGAAGUAGAUCGGAAAGGAGCUCUGAUGCAUGGACAGGUGCCCCGCCCAGGAUUCCCGGUGCCACAGCAACAGCACUCUCCACCCGAAACCAGUGGAUCCCCGCCAACCCGGGACGAUUCCUCCAGCCACACCCGGGACCCUGUGCCAAAAGCCUCCCCACGCCGGAGCGAAAGAUCCAGUCCAUCCCCAAAUUCAAGAUCAGAAAGACCCCGGACUGCAUCGGAAGAUCCAGAACGUUCCUUGACGGAAUAUAUUCACCACUUAGAAAUGAUCCAGCAGAGACUGGGGGGGAUGCCGCCAGAUCCCACUUCCAAGAAAUUCUGCCGCCAGAAGACUAAACAGUGAAUAAAAUCCCCCUGGCUCUCACCUGUGAUGGUUGUGUCUGAGGACAAGAUUUGUUCUUCCUUUGUCUAUGGAAAGCUGUGGCCGCCGUACUGAGCGGUGCCCAGUGUCCUCAUGCGCCCGAGACACCAGCCCCCGCGUGCCACGACUGACAUGUUCUCACAGUGGUGCAUCGCUGCAAAGCCAGGCGGAGUGUUUCCUGUGUAAUCUCAGUACCUGUCAGCUCAUUACCGUCAUGGCUGACGGGCACAGUGCAUGUGGGCAGAGCCACCUGCCUGCCUCCAAGAAGGGUCGGUAAGGCUCCCUUGGCUGCCACCCAGACCUUGCUGGCCAGUAUAAUUGCGACCCUCUGACCUGUCAGUUCAGUGCCGCCUCCCGGCCUCGUUUGUCUUCGGACCGACCGUGUCAUCCCCAUUGCUGUCACCCAGCCAAGUUAUGGAGCAGUCUUUCCUACCGUUAGCUCUUGCCUAGAGGUGAGCCACCACUGAACAUUCUCGUGACAUCAGUGCCCCUUUCUCCAGCCUAUCUCUUUGGACUUUUUAAAUGUGUUCUUUAUGCCUUUAUGUGAAGUACAACCACCAGUGGAUCUUCAGGAAGCACGAAUAUGUAAAUCUCAGCACACUUACACCCCCGAGCCUUUUACUUCCUUACACAAGUCCACCACAGCGAUUCUGUCAUUUCAGCUUUCCUUACUGAGGGCCAUAGAUUUUUCCACGUGUAGUGUUCUGAAAAUACAGCUGCAAAUUCUUUGAUCCUCUUACCUUUAGAAGAUGGAGUCUACUCCCCCUCCCCUUGAAUACAGGUGAGAUUUAGUGACUCACUACAAAUAGACAGGAAGUGGCCAAAGGCUAGUUCACAAAAAAGGCUGUGGCCUUCCUUUGUCUUUGGACAAUUGCCUUUGGAAACCAGCCAUCAUAUUGUGUCAAAGCCCAGGCCACAAGGAGUGGCCAAAUGUGGGUGUGCUGGCUAACAUCCCCUAUCUGGGCUCCAGCACGAACUGUCAGACAUGUGAGUAAAUGAACUUUCAAAUCACUCCAACUUCCAGCCUUCAAGCUGCUCCAGUGGGCGCCCCAGAUGCUGUGGAACAGAGAUGAGGCCUCCCCACUGUGCCCACAGUAACCUAGAGAGAUGAUACAGGCAUCCCUUGGAGAUACGAUGGGGGUGGUUCCAGACCACCGCAAUAAAGCGAGAGUCACAAUAAAGUGAGUCGCGAUCUUUUUGUUGGUAGAGGGUCUUGCCUUCAAUUU